Molecule: unclassified non-coding RNA, 1033 nt
Filed under: uncultured fungus
Lineage: Eukaryota; Fungi
Description: sequence contains 18S rRNA gene, ITS1, 5.8S rRNA gene, ITS2, 28S rRNA gene
Source: RNAcentral
CACGCGCACAGGUCCAUUGAAGUCUCGCUCAAUCAAUUCGCGCUGUGCAGGAUGUAGAAAGAUCGUCCAUUUGUCCCAAGGGUAAUCCAGCGCGGCCGCUAGCUCUUCGACAUUGAUCAUAAUGCGAAAACGGCGCUGCGCGUCGGGAUGCUCGAACGGAUCGACAGCCGCUGGGACCGCUGGAGCCACUCGUGGCUUACCGCCGGUCGCGAGUUCCAGCAGAGCCUCAGCAGCUUCGCUCGGCAGAUGAUCAGCUAGCGUGAGGAGACUAUCUUCGUUGGAUUCACGCACGUCAGCCAACCAUUCUGCCGGCACGCCGUAGCUCAGCAGGUCAUCGUCCGCGACGUGGUCGAAUAGCCGUGCUUUGGGUGCAAUCCGCUCCGCAACUUCAACAUACUUCGGAACGAAAAUGUCCUUGACGGUUUCACGAAUUUCCACCAACUGCGCUGCGCCAGUCUUCGGACGGAUCUCCAAUUUCCGGCGCUCAGCCCAGCGAUACGCUUCGUCAUGGUGAUCAACGUAGCAAAGCAAGAGGCUCGUAUCGGUUUUGUGAACAAUCAAUCGAAUAUCGCGACCCACACGCACCGACCAAAAAUUCGGAUCUCUCGCCUUGUUGAGCUUGUGGAAUUGCAUUCCGGGCUGGUCCGGAUUUAGUUGCAGGUCGAAAGCAGUAGUUUUGACUAGUUUCUGUUCUUCGCCGGUUAGGUGAGCGAGGCUGUCGGUGAAGGUAUCGGCAAUUCGAAAUUCCAUGCCUAUGCCCCGGUAGUCAUCGGCGCAGCAAAUAAGCUUGGCUGGCAAUCACUAACGCAAGUUCCUUUUGUUUUGCCUUUUGCAGCUCAGGAUCAGCCUCAUCCCAGGGCCAACCCCUUAUCACAGCGUGACGCGGUGGUGGUUCAUCGGCCAACGCUUCUAACUGGGCAUCCCUCGCUACUUGCGCUUUGAAAAUCGCUGCUGCGUAAAGACUCCGCGCGCCCGCGGCGGACAAUCCAAUCGUCCACAGCUCUUCUCUUGGGUCGGGACCGUGGCGCGAAAC